RNAcentral lists this transfer RNA (74 nucleotides) under Candidatus Woesearchaeota archaeon. Its description in RNAcentral is "tRNA-Ala". It matches the Rfam family "tRNA". Rfam says of the family: Transfer RNA (tRNA) molecules are approximately 80 nucleotides in length. The record is from RNAcentral. Lineage: Archaea; Nanobdellati; Candidatus Woesearchaeota.
GGGCGGGUAGUUAAACCUGGUAUAACGUCCCGUUGGCUUCGGGAAGGCUUCGGGUUCAAAUCCCGACCCGUCCA